UAAACGACUCUCGGCAACGGAUAUCUUGGCUCUCGCAUCGAUGAAGAACGUAGCGAAAUGCGAUACUUGGUGUGAAUUGCAGAAUCCCGUGAACCAUCGAGUCUUUGAACGCAAGUUGCGCCCGAAGCCAUUAGGCCGAGGGCACGCCUGCCUGGGCGUCACAC
Molecule: ribosomal RNA, 164 nt
Filed under: Rubus elatior
Lineage: Eukaryota; Viridiplantae; Streptophyta; Magnoliopsida; Rosales; Rosaceae
Description: 5.8S ribosomal RNA
Rfam family: 5.8S ribosomal RNA
About the family: 5.8S ribosomal RNA (5.8S rRNA) is a component of the large subunit of the eukaryotic ribosome. It is transcribed by RNA polymerase I as part of the 45S precursor that also contains 18S and 28S rRNA. Functionally, it is thought that 5.8S rRNA may be involved in ribosome translocation.
Source: RNAcentral